Molecule: ribosomal RNA, 253 nt
Filed under: uncultured bacterium
Lineage: Bacteria
Description: partial 16S ribosomal RNA
Rfam family: Bacterial small subunit ribosomal RNA
Source: RNAcentral
UACGUAGGGGGCGAGCGUUGUCCGGAAUCAUUGGGCGUAAAGCGCGUGUAGGCGGCCCGGUAAGUCCGCUGUGAAAGUCCAGGGCUCAACCCUGGGAUGCCGGUGGAUACUGUCGGGCUCGAGUCCGGAAGAGGCGAGUGGAAUUCCUGGUGUGGCGGUGAAAUGCGCAGAUAUCAGGAGGAACACCAAUGGCGAAGGCAGCUCGCUGGGACGUGACUGACGCUGAGACGCGAAAGCGUGGGGAGCAAACAGG